UCCCUUGUGGCUCAGCUGGUAAAGAAUCCACCUGCAAUGUGGGAGACCUGGGUUCGAUCCCUGGUUUGGGAA
RNAcentral lists this transfer RNA (72 nucleotides) under Bos taurus (domestic cattle). It matches the Rfam family "tRNA". Rfam says of the family: Transfer RNA (tRNA) molecules are approximately 80 nucleotides in length. Their secondary structure includes four short double-helical elements and three loops (D, anti-codon, and T loops). Further hydrogen bonds mediate the characteristic L-shaped molecular structure. tRNAs have two regions of fundamental functional importance: the anti-codon, which is responsible for specific mRNA codon recognition, and the 3' end, to which the tRNAs corresponding amino acid is attached (by aminoacyl-tRNA synthetases). tRNAs cope with the degeneracy of the genetic code in two manners: having more than one tRNA (with a specific anti-codon) for a particular amino acid; and 'wobble' base-pairing, i.e. permitting non-standard base-pairing at the 3rd anti-codon position. RNAcentral also lists the same sequence under 7 other names. Lineage: Eukaryota; Metazoa; Chordata; Mammalia; Artiodactyla; Bovidae. The record is from Rfam by way of RNAcentral.